Molecule: ribosomal RNA, 301 nt
Filed under: uncultured bacterium
Lineage: Bacteria
Description: partial 16S ribosomal RNA
Rfam family: Bacterial small subunit ribosomal RNA
Source: RNAcentral
CAGUCGCCGCGGUAAUACGAAGGGGGCUAGCGUUGUUCGGAAUUACUGGGCGUAAAGCGCACGUAGGCGGAUAUUUAAGUCAGGGGUGAAAUCCCGCAGCUCAACUGCGGAACUGCCUUUGAUACUGGGUAUCUUGAGUAUGGAAGAGGUUAGUGGAAUUGCGAGUGUAGAGGUGAAAUUCGUAGAUAUUCGCAGGAACACCAGUGGCGAAGGCGGCUAACUGGUCCAUAACUGACGCUGAGGUGCGAAAGCGUGGGGAGCAAACAGGAUUAGAUACCCCGGUAGUCCCUGUCUCUUAUAC